UUCUUGACGACAAUAGAGCAUUGGAACCACCUGAUCCCAUCCCGAACUCAGUAGUGAAACGAUGCAUCGCCGAUGGUAGUGUGGGGUUUCCCCAUGUGAGAGUAGGUCAUCGUCAAGAUU
Molecule: ribosomal RNA, 120 nt
Filed under: Pseudomonas putida BIRD-1
Lineage: Bacteria; Pseudomonadati; Pseudomonadota; Gammaproteobacteria; Pseudomonadales; Pseudomonadaceae
Source: RNAcentral